Molecule: long non-coding RNA, 1015 nt
Filed under: Homo sapiens (human)
Lineage: Eukaryota; Metazoa; Chordata; Mammalia; Primates; Hominidae
Description: HSALNT0227029
Source: RNAcentral
CUCGCAUUGUUGCCCAGGCUAGAGUGCAGUGGCGCCAUCUCAGCUCACUGCAACCUCCGCCUCCCGGGUUCAAGCGAUUCUCCUGCCUCAGCCUCCUGAGUAGCUGGGACUACAGGCACAUAACACCAUGCUUGGCUCAUUUUUGUAUUUUUGGUAGAGAUAGGGUUUCACCAUGUUGGCCAGGCUGAUCUUGUACUCCUCACCUCAAGUGAUCCGCCUGCCUCGGCCUCCCAAAGUGCUGGGAUUACAGGCUUGAGCCACCACAUCUACCCAUUUUUUUUUUUUGAGACGGAGUCUCGCUCUGGCACCCAGGCUGGAGUGUAGUAGCGCGAUCAUAGUUCAUUGCAGCCUUAACCUCCUGGGCUCAAGCAAUCCUCCUGCUUCAGCCUUCUGAGUAGCUGGGACUACAAGCACAUGCCACCAUGUCUGACUAAUUGAAAAAAACAUUUUUUUUUUUUUGUAGGGAUGAGGUUUCAUUAUGUUGCCCAGGCUGGUCUCAAACUCCUGGCCUUAUUCCAUCCUCCUGCCUCAGCCUCCCAAAGUGUUGGGAUUAGAGAUGUGAGCCAUCUUGCAGAUGAUAGAGAAACAGAAACAGAAAACGGAGAAAGCACAAUCCGGGACCAGGAUAAACAUAGAUAAAGUGAGGGGCAUGAAUGGAGUAUUUUUAAGGGUAAGUGGAUGUAUCAUCUGAAUCCAUGGGGGUUACACAUGGUUAUAUGCAAAAGGUGUGUGCAAAUACAUAUGUAAAGUCCAUGAGUGUGGGGAAACAGGUGGCCAGGUACUUAGCACAGUGCCUGACACACAGGAGCUCAUCACCCGUGUGCCAUCAGAGUGAAUAAGUGGGUUUGGGGGAGUAAAGAAGGUGUCUGUGCGGUUUUUUGAGACAGGGUCUCACUCUGUCACCCAGGCUGCACCCAGGCUGGGUGACGUGAUGCAACCACAGCUCACUGCAGCCUUGAAUUACUGGCCUCUAACGAUCCUCCUUCCUCAGCUCAGCUUCCCAAGUAGCUGGAAC